Molecule: transfer RNA, 73 nt
Filed under: Myotis lucifugus (little brown bat)
Lineage: Eukaryota; Metazoa; Chordata; Mammalia; Chiroptera; Vespertilionidae
Rfam family: tRNA
About the family: Transfer RNA (tRNA) molecules are approximately 80 nucleotides in length. Their secondary structure includes four short double-helical elements and three loops (D, anti-codon, and T loops).
Source: Rfam by way of RNAcentral
GCCAUUUUGGCUCAGUGGAUAGAGUGUUGGCCUGUGGAGUCAAGGGUCCCAGGUUCGAUUCUGGCCAAGGGCA